CAGGCGUUUAAAGUCAACACAUGCAACUGAACAACGGACUCAGAGUCAAACGGGUGAAGAGGCGGCUGCUGAAGAGCCAGCAAGUAAAACAGAAGAAGAAAUCAUCCAUUAUGGAGAGAUCGACUUCUCCACGAGACCUGAACUGGCCUCGGUGCAGGACGGUGGACAGCAGCAGGAUACGCUGUACGCACAGGUCAAAGUGUCCCAGACAGCAAACAGCUUAAGACAGACCGCCGACGGCCCAGAGGAUCUCUACGCUCAAGUGAAGAGAAACUGAGUGCUCUUGUUAAAAGACAAAAAAUACAUUUAUGUAGAAUUCAUAUUUAAUAUGCCUUAAUGUUGUCCUUGCUGCCUACAGUUCAAUGGAGAGGAAUUUAAAACAUCCACAUCCUGCAGAUUUUCAAUGUCAGUUAUCAACAUAUUCUCCCAAUCCUGGAUUAUGGUGCCUUGAUCUACAGACUCGCCUCCAAAAAUCAUCUCAAUAAACUGGACGUCAUCUACCAUACUGCCAUUCGCUUUGUCACCGGUGUCCCUUUCAACACUCAUCACUGUAACCUGUAAUCUCUAUAGUCAACUGGCCAUCCCUCCAUAGCAGGCGUCAGACCAGAAGACUAUCAUUGGCAAAACCCCUCCAUAUCUCCGCUCACUACUCAAUAUCUACAACAGGAACUGCAAUUUACGUUCUAGCAAAUUCUUCAGUAUGGUCAUUCCUCCUUUGGUCGUCUCUCAUUCCAGUUUGCUGCUCCUAGUGACUGGAAUGAGUUGCAAAAGAUGCUAAAACUCCACACCCUUAUUCUGUUACCCUCCUUUAAUGACUCAUUACAAGCGAUAGUUUCUGAUCACUGCACCUGCUUCUGAAUUUGCCUCUCUGGAACACAGCACAUAUAUAUAUAUAUAUAUAUAUAUAUAUAUAUAUUGUUGUAUAUACUGUAUUUAUUGUGAUGUUUUCAUUUUGUCUGUUUUAUUGCACUAAUCGUAUUUAUGUUCUAUGUUCUAAUGCAGGGGUCUCCAACAAGUAGCUCGCAAGCUACCCGUUUCUGAGUGGCUCGCUAACAGUUCUUUGUCAAACUGUUUAAAUUACAACCCAAUCAAAUUCACAGACAUCCCACCCCAUUCUGAGACCAAAUGAUUAUAUGCCUAUUGGCUGUCAAUUAAACUAGUUAGGCUGCUGUCAGGUUUGUAACGCCAUAACAUACAGAGACCGGAUUUGACAAUGACCGCAGAAAAUAGCAGGCCAAUAAAAGGCAAAAAAUACAUUAUUUUCAUGAGGAAUCGGUAUGUCUCACAUUUGCGGUGUGAGCGUGUUAGUCAGUAAAAGAUUUAUCGUCGAGCGCCAAGUCCACAGCAACUUUUCAUGGGACUUUCCAGCUGGUAGCAGUUUAUGAUCAAAGAAGGUAAAGGAGCCAAAAACGAUCCUUAAAAGACGACAGUCUCUGUUUACCAAAGAAGGCCGAUGAAGCAAAGAGCCAUCUUUUAGUGGCGCACAUCCUAACGAAACAAAAAAGCCCUUCACCUAUGAAAGAAUUGUAAAAGUGGCGAUGACUGCGGUGGUUGAAACGUUAUUAAAGGACCAUAAAAGUAAGACAGACUUGGUGCUUUGAGUAGCUCUCAGCCACUUUCAUUUUGUCAAAUUAGCUCUCAGAGGGAAACAGGUUGGAGACCCCUGUUCUAAUGUCUUGCUGCCUCUUGGCCACGUCAUCAUUGUAAAUGAGAAUUGGUUCUCAAUUGACUUAUGUGGUUAAAUAAAGAUAAAAUAAAAUAAAAAUAAAUAAAUAUUUGUGUGCUGAACUCA
Long non-coding RNA from Sebastes umbrosus (honeycomb rockfish), 1792 nucleotides. RefSeq lists it as uncharacterized. The record is from RefSeq and is a predicted model, not a curated record. The transcript is spliced from 2 exons. Lineage: Eukaryota; Metazoa; Chordata; Actinopteri; Perciformes; Sebastidae.